Folsomia candida is the source of this 1479-nucleotide long non-coding RNA. RefSeq lists it as uncharacterized. The transcript has 6 exons. The record is from RefSeq and is a predicted model, not a curated record. Lineage: Eukaryota; Metazoa; Arthropoda; Collembola; Entomobryomorpha; Isotomidae.
UUUUGUCGUGAUGUAACUUAACUCUGUUGAAAAAUGUAAAGUUUUUAUAAAGUUGUGACAAAGUGGGGGGAUGAGGUUGGGGUGGGUAACUGGAGAAUGGAGAAAUCAGGCUAAUACAUUCUUAUUUUUCUGGUGGAUCUGAAAUGGAUAAAAUGAUCCACUUUCUAAUUAUUGAGCCUGUAUUCGGAUGUGUUAAAUAUACUUGGCUGCCUAAAAGGAUUAAGAUAAACUUACUUGCGACGUUUGUAAAGCCCGGAUUCAGAAAUUAAUUACAAAUAUGUUUAAAUUGGAGUAAAAAAUUGGUUGUGUAGUGUUCAAAAAAUUUUAUGAGAUGAUACGCUCGGCGAUGAAUCCGUUAUAAAUUUUGGAUUAUUAAUUGGAAAUUGGAUUAUAAAAUUUUGAUUCAAGUCGGUGUGACUAUUAAAUUUAUACGCUAAUUAAUUUCGAUUCCAAUUGUACCUGAAAAGUAAUUUCAUUUCGGAAUACAAAUGGGGGAUCGUGCCAAAGAAAUCAAUGGGACAAUAUUCAACCGGAACUUGCAGGAGUAGUUACAAGGAUGUGGUAAGUUUACGUUCAAUAUUAAACUUGUCGAGUAUUAUUUCGGUAGGGAAAAAUCGGGGCUUUAGAUAAAUAAUACACAAUAGGGAGCUUAAAUAUCAUAUUCGAAUUUUAAUCGACGCUAUGUCGUUUGAAAUUAUGAGUUACCUUAAAACGUCACUCAUAAAAUGCUAACCAAAAUUCCAUAAUUCGAUCGUGGAAAAUUAAUAUGGAAAAUGAAAUUAUUUUGCAAAAUUCAAUAUCUUGGAAAAUUGUGAAAUCGAGGCAGAUGUCAAAUUCUAGUCAAAAUAAUUUUUAAAAUUAUUUCCCGUCAUACAAAAUUUGAGACAAAAAUCAAAAUUUGCAAAAAAUUCGCAUAUAUUGGUUCAGAUCUCGAAAACCACCAAUGCACCCCCCAUUAUUAUUACGGAUUCUUCAUGUACAAAAAAUUACGCAAAUUUUAAGCUAUCAAACUUGACAAUCAUCCGAGCACGAAAAAAACACGAUUUGAUUGUAUAUAUCUAUCUUAACUAUCUUAAUUACGAAUAUGUACAACUGUCUAUGAAUUUGUCAACUUGUUUGAGAAAUAUCUUUAGCCUCCCAUGUGUCUUGAAUAUUUACCCGUACUUGGUAAUUAUGUAUGGAAGGAAUAUGUCAUCAUUUUUGUAUCGUCCUGUAAGUAACAAGUAAUAAAUUAUUCAUUGAUUUUAAGUAAUUUUAAUGAUAUAAUACAUAAUAUUUGCUUACUCUCUUUGAUAUGAAUAUAGGUUAUAAUAUGUAAAUAAUGAAUCACCAAGACACAAGAUAUUAGGCAAAUUAUUUCCUAAGCUUGCAUAGUUUAAUGCAAAUUGAUGUAAUUGAUUAAUUUAUGCAUACAUAUGUACAAAUGAAAACGAAUGAUACGAAGAAAUAAAUAAAACUAUAAAGUAUAAAGAAAUUUGA